This 185-nucleotide ribosomal RNA is filed under the name uncultured bacterium. RNAcentral describes it as "partial 16S ribosomal RNA". It matches the Rfam family "Bacterial small subunit ribosomal RNA", at positions 1314 to 1500 of the family's 1533-position model. The record is from RNAcentral.
GCCUGCAUGAAGUUGGAAUCGCUAGUAAUCGCGGAUCAGCAUGCCGCGGUGAAUACGUUCCCGGGCCUUGUACACACCGCCCGUCACACCAUGAGAGUCGGGAACACCCGAAGUCCGUAGCCUGACCGCAAGGGGGCGCGGCGAAGGUGGGUUCGAUAAUUGGGGUGAAGUCGUAACAAGGUAAC